CGGGGCGUGAAUACCAGGAGUGGGGAACAUUAGGGGCCAUCUUGGAGGCUACCUACCACAGAAAGAGUCUCAAAACAAUGGAAUUUAUGCUUGGCUGCUAAUCCUUACCACAGUGGAGAAUAGCCUUAGGACAACUCCGAGGGGGCAGACGUUAUGAGCGCCAUUUCAGAGAUAAGGAAAAUGAGCCGCAGAGAAGUUAAGUGAAUAAUGGGAACUGUGAUUAUUUUUGAGCGUCUAGGACCAUGAAGUAGCUCUGCAUGCAUGAACCCAUUCCUGAGCGGCUGCAACUGGCCAUAUCCACACCAAUUUAUGAGACCUCGUUCAGCCUCCUGAAGGUAACCAAACAGAGAAAAUGAGAGGAGACGGGGCUGGAAGGGCAUGACGCACGGGAGACCAAAUAUACACUGUGAGCUGAAUGCUACCAAGAGAGGCUUUGCCACUAUUUUCUGCUCGCCUCAGUAGAAUCUGGGUUUCAUAAUAAGAAUAUGGCCGAAA
Callorhinus ursinus (northern fur seal) is the source of this 495-nucleotide long non-coding RNA. RefSeq lists it as uncharacterized. NCBI's taxonomy places the organism in Eukaryota, Metazoa, Chordata, Mammalia, Carnivora, Otariidae. The record is from RefSeq and is a predicted model, not a curated record.